This 563-nucleotide long non-coding RNA is filed under the name Drosophila guanche. The record is from RNAcentral. Lineage: Eukaryota; Metazoa; Arthropoda; Insecta; Diptera; Drosophilidae.
GUGGAUGGCAUGGCCGACCAUGGUACAGCUGAGGUACCCACCUCAAUGGCAGCUAAUUGAUGUGCAGCAAUAAAUCUGAAAGUUGGCAAGUGAGAGUCGUGCAGGGAUUGUGUGCCUUGGAGCAGCAGAACUUUAUUUUGGCAGUGCAAACUCAGACUCACACUCACACUCACACACUCCAAUUACUCCAAGAGAGCCCCCAGUCUGGUUAAGUGGGGCUAAUCCGCAGCAGCAGCCGCGGAACCAACGCCAACACGUUGCGAGGAUGUUGCCCGUUGCCCGUUGCCCGUCUCCGUACCCGCCGAGAAUGAGCUUGAAGAUGUGGCCAAAGGGGAGGCGCCGUGCCGGGUGACACAUGCAGGCUAUCUGUUGCCAUAAAAGCAGCCACAGCAACGCGGAUAAAAGCAGCUUUCACGGAGCAGCAACCAUGGCAAGAAAUGGCAUGCAAGUGGUUAAAUUUGUGGAUACAAAAGAAGGAUGGAAAUAUUUACAUUAGAAAAUAAUUUAUAGUAGUACAAAAUAACUGCCAAAUAUACAAUACAUUAGUUUUAUACACACUUUCU